RNAcentral lists this ribosomal RNA (488 nucleotides) under uncultured bacterium. RNAcentral describes it as "bacterial SSU rRNA". It matches the Rfam family "Bacterial small subunit ribosomal RNA", at positions 29 to 502 of the family's 1533-position model. The record is from RNAcentral.
AGUGAACGCUGGCGGCAGGCCUAACACAUGCAAGUCGAGCGGCAGCGCGUCCGACCACCCUCGGGUGGUCGGAUGGCGGCGAGUGGCGGACGGGUGAGGAAUGCAUCGGAAUCUGCCUCGUUGUGGGGGAUAACGUAGGGAAACUUACGCUAAUACCGCAUACGACCUACGGGUGAAAGUGGGGGACCUUCGGGCCUCACGCGAUGAGAUGAGCCGAUGCCGGAUUAGCUAGUUGGCGGGGUAAAGGCCCACCAAGGCGACGAUCCGUAGCUGGUCUGAGAGGAUGAUCAGCCACACUGGAACUGAGACACGGUCCAGACUCCUACGGGAGGCAGCAGUAGGGAAUAUUGGACAAUGGGCGAAGGCCUGAUCCAGCCAUGCCGCGUGAUAGAUGAAGGCCCUCUGGGUUGUAAAUAUCUUUUAUCUGGGAAGAAACUCCUCUAUUCUUAGAGGCCUGACGGUACCAGAGGAAUAAGCACCGGCUAACU